RNAcentral lists this ribosomal RNA (449 nucleotides) under uncultured bacterium. RNAcentral's name for it is "partial 16S ribosomal RNA". It matches the Rfam family "Bacterial small subunit ribosomal RNA", at positions 29 to 523 of the family's 1533-position model. The record is from RNAcentral.
AACGAACGCUGGCGGCAUGCCUAACACAUGCAAGUCGAACGAGACCUUCGGGUCGAGUGGCGCACGGGUGAGUAACGCGUUGGAAUCUACGCUUGGGCUCGGUAUAACAGUUAGAAAUGACUGCUAAUACAGGAUGAUGACGUAAGUCCAUAGAUUAAUCGUCCAAGGAUGAGCCCGCGUAAGAUUAGCUUGCUGGUGUGGUAAUGGCAUACCAGGGCUACGAUCUUUGGCUGGUUUGAGAGGAUGAUCCGCCAAACUGGGACUGAGACGGGGCCCACACACCUAGGUGGGCGAGCAGUAGGGAAUAUUGGACAAGGGGAGAACGCCUGAUCCAGCAAUCCCGCGUUAGAGAUAAAGGUCUUAGGGUUAUAAAGCUCUUUUACCAGGGAAGAUAUUGACAGUACCUGAAGAAUAAGCUCCGGCUAACUCCGUGCCAGCAGCCGCCGUAA